Venturia canescens is the source of this 2071-nucleotide long non-coding RNA. RefSeq lists it as uncharacterized. The transcript is spliced from 3 exons. NCBI's taxonomy places the organism in Eukaryota, Metazoa, Arthropoda, Insecta, Hymenoptera, Ichneumonidae. The record is from RefSeq and is a predicted model, not a curated record.
UCUCAGCAACAACGCUCCUAAACUGUCUGAAAAUUUAACUGAUUUUUUUUACACUUCACUUUAUAAGAUGCAAUCGGUUUAAAAGCGAUGACAUCAUUUUCAUUCUAAUGCCUCAACUUCCUUAACUCCCCGACUGCCCGCAGGGCCAAAAAGAGGGGAGUUGUGCGUUUCACUGCGAUCAGUGGGUGGGGGGAUAUUCCUUUGUUGCCAGUUUUCUCGACCAAUUUUUGACACAAUUGCCCCACAUUGAAUUACAUCCACUCUGGUAAAAUUUUUCUUGCUAUAUCAAAGACUCUGUGACGCGGAAGCCAUAUGGCAUUGCCAGAUAUUUUUCGAGCAACAAAGGCGGAACGUGGAGCGUGUAUGUCGAGAUUCAAAGAUCCCUCCAUUCUUACGAAGCCGAUUACACGUGAUCCGCCGCCACGCGUCGGUUCGAACUACCUCAGUAAAACAAAAUGUUUUAAAAAAACAUUAAAAAAAAAGCUCCCGACUGAAAAAUCGUACAGCUUAUUGAAAAUAAAAUGAAGUCGAGAAAAAAAUGAAUAUUAGAAAAGCACAACAGUGUAAAAAAGAUAUGCGUUUCCAGAAUAUUAUAUAUCUUCAAACCCCUUUUCUUAAGAAAAUAGGAGUAAACUUUAAAAAGACUGAAAUAAAAUAGAUGAAAUAUAAUUAAUAAGAUAGAUAGGAAACCAUUUAAUUGUUAAUUCCCUCGAGAUUCGAUUCCUAUGGUUAAUUUUUAUUAGUGGUAGGUAAGUCAUUUACGUACAAAAAUAAAAAUUUUAUUAUAAAUUGUCAAAGUUUAAUGAUUGUACAAAGAAUGAAGGUGAUAAUAAAAAAAAUGUAAUCUCACAAAAAACUGAAAUAUGUUGUAGACAUAAUGGAAUAUAAUAUUUGGCGGGAGAUGUUUCUAGAUCUUACUUAAUGAUUUUAUUGGAGACUUGUUUUAUUAAGGUAGCUCGAACCGACGCGUGGCGACAUUCAGGCCGGGUCGGCAAGAGCGUUACGUUACAGUAUCAAUAGCCAUCAAUAGCUGUAAUUAGCCUUGUAAGAAUGGAGGGAUCUUUGAAUAAACAAUCUCGAGAUACACGCUCCACGUUUCGCCUUUGUUGCUCGAAAAAUAUCUGGCAAUGCCAAAUGGCUUCUGCGACAUAGCGUCUUUGAACAUAGCAAGACAAAUUUUACCAGAAUAUGAAUGGAAUUCGGAUCAAUGUGGUUACGUACAUAAAAAAAGGUGCUUAAAGUCACGAUGAGUUCUGCGUAUAUAUACAGCGUUUUUUUCGUACAGAUCAUAUCACAUCAGACAUCGGCAAAUCGUCGUCCUAGUCAAAAAAAUAAUUCACCUAAUCGAAUAUGAAAUUCUUCGUGGGCUUCCUCGCACUCUCAUUACUUUUCGUUGUUGCUGUCGAUGCUACUAUACAAACAAUUAGCAUCCCAUUUUCUUCGUGCCUGCCAGAAAAUAUCGUUAAAAUGAAUGCGAUAACCCAGAGUUAUUGCAGAAUUGUUUUAGCCAGGAAAAAUGUACCUGUAGAAGGAAAUUAUUAUAUCAGCUACGAUGAUGGCACUGGAACGAUCCCGGAUGUCCAACAUUCUUUCUUCCGCAUUGGAAGAAGGAGAUAAAUUCAUUGCGGUGAUGCACACGUUGCUGUUGAUCAACAUGAAAAUCCGCCACUAAAAAUUCUAUUUAUUAUAAUUCUCCGAAACAAUUAUUUGAUAUUUAAUAACUUAUUACAUUUUUUUGUACGAAAAUUGGAGAAUCAUUUUCCUUUUUAAUUAUUUCCUCUUGCAACUGAAAUCAUUCCUCUGUCAUUUUGAUAAAUACCAAUUAUCAAAUACGAAACACUGUACGUGGUUUCUUCCAAACCAUUCACCUUGGGGUUCGCCGGACUACAAACUGUAUGAUAACGUUUUUUCGAGUCGUCAUUUUCGAUGGGUAAAUUCAAACGGCUCAAACAAUUUUACAUUUUUAACUUGAAAUCUUGUCCAAGUAUUUAUGCAUUUUGAAAAAAAAGUAGCUGAGUUUUGAGUUUCCCACAGCCACUAUACCAUGAAUAAAUUUACAAAAAAAUGUCAA